UUAAGAGCUUUACAAAAUCCAGACCCGAGCUUCUGACAGAAAUUCAGAGGAGCUGCUAUCUGUGAAGUGGUAUCUGCUGGGAAAACAUCAAAGGAAGAAUGUGAAAGGAAGAAAGUGAAAAAUGUUUCACACCUGAUUCUGGAGUCAGAAGACUACCUGAUUACCCAGCAUAAUUCAUGCACAAUUUAUGCAUAAUAUAAGUUACUUCAGAAGAAGUAACAACCUAGCAGCUACUCUAUAGUUGUUGAUUGGAGGACAACAGUAGUCCAUUUCUUGUUACUGUACACAGCUAACCUUCCAGGGUCUGUGCCAUAACUUUACAUGUGAAUCUGAUAAGAUCUGCACACAACUCACAUACUGGGGAAUUUCCAUGUUAAUUUUUCAGUAUGUACAACCUAUCCUUGGUCUCUAGACCCUUAAGACAGGGCACACAGACCCUAUCAUAUGCCCUGAAGAAUCUUUGCUUGAAACAAAGAGAAUGAGGGAAAGUUGGAAGACUGCUUGAGUAUCUUCUUUCAGAAGACUGAAGAACAGAUAUUCUAGCAACAUUUUCAAAAUAAAAUAAAAUAAAAUAAAAAAUAAGCA
RNAcentral lists this long non-coding RNA (585 nucleotides) under Anas platyrhynchos platyrhynchos (common mallard). RNAcentral describes it as "lncRNA (ENSAPLG00000019755.1)". The record is from RNAcentral. Lineage: Eukaryota; Metazoa; Chordata; Aves; Anseriformes; Anatidae.